UUUGGUAUUAGUAGGCGACGCAUUGCUGCAAUUAAUUGUUAGCUGGAUAUAUAAAUAUUAUAUACAUACGCUAUAUAAGUGCACAAGUUCCAUUCGCUUGACCUUUUCAAUAUAAAGUAAAUAAUCUGUGCUCUUUAAACAUUCAAGGACAUUACCAUUGCCAAAAAAAAGAAGAAGAAUCGCAGCUUACAUAUACUUCUCUUGCCCUAAAAGCCAAGCCAACUGGAAAUUCGUAGAUAAGCGGAACACAGCAUAAAGUCAGAGCAAUACGCAUCGUUGUUAUUUAUUGCAAUGUUUCCUGCAUGCGCGCCUAAGAAAGCCAGCUAAUUUUUAUUGGCAAAUGUAAAGAAAAUGUCAUUAGACUGUGAUGUAUAGGAAAAUGAAGUGUGUGACAGAUACAAUAGGACAGAUACAAGACAAUAUCAGCUUGGAAAUAACCAUAAAGUAGUUUAGCGUAUUUUCUCAUGGGCUGUAAAUCUAUCUAUGAUAUAUCUUAAAUAUAUUUUAAAUUUCCA
This is a non-coding RNA of Drosophila virilis, 515 nucleotides long. The record is from RefSeq and is a predicted model, not a curated record. NCBI's taxonomy places the organism in Eukaryota, Metazoa, Arthropoda, Insecta, Diptera, Drosophilidae.